Molecule: ribosomal RNA, 506 nt
Filed under: uncultured bacterium
Lineage: Bacteria
Description: partial 16S ribosomal RNA
Rfam family: Bacterial small subunit ribosomal RNA
Source: RNAcentral
AUUGAACGCUGGCGGCAGGCCUAACACAUGCAAGUCGGACGGUAGCACAGAGGAGCUUGCUCCUCGGGUGACGAGUGGCGGACGGGUGAGUAAUGUCUGGGGAUCUGCCCGAUAGAGGGGGAUAACCACUGGAAACGGUGGCUAAUACCGCAUAACGUCGCAAGACCAAAGAGGGGGACCUUCGGGCCUCUCACUAUCGGAUGAACCCAGAUGGGAUUAGCUAGUAGGCGGGGUAACGGCCCACCUAGGCGACGAUCCCUAGCUGGUCCGAGAGGAUGACCAGCCACACUGGAACUGAGACACGGUCCAGACUCCUACGGGAGGCAGCAGUGGGGAAUAUUGCACAAUGGGCGCAAGCCUGAUGCAGCCAUGCCGCGUGUAUGAAGAAGGCCUUCGGGUUGUAAAGUACUUUCAGCGGGGAGGAAGGCGAUGUGGUUAAUAACCGCAUUGAUUGACGUUACCCGCAGAAGAAGCACCGGCUAACUCCGUGCCAGCAGCCGCUGUAA